Long non-coding RNA from Acipenser ruthenus (sterlet), 1774 nucleotides. RefSeq lists it as uncharacterized. The record is from RefSeq and is a predicted model, not a curated record. NCBI's taxonomy places the organism in Eukaryota, Metazoa, Chordata, Actinopteri, Acipenseriformes, Acipenseridae. The transcript is spliced from 3 exons.
UAGGGAAGGAGGAGUGGAAGAUAGUGAACCAUGAGCUCACAUUCAAUUAAUUUUGAAAAGGAGUCACUGUUACUUUUUAAAUAUAUUAUUCACUUGAAAGAUAACGCUUGUAAAACAAACCAAAUAAUUAGAUUUAAUUGGGUCUUCUGACGUAAGAAACGAAGCAAAAACUAUAAAAACGAGGUAAAAUCCUAGUGAAGUAUCACUUGAUUUGCUAACUACAAGUUGUGUGAUCCAUGCUCUGAGGAUCUCUGAAAAAGCUGAUUGCUGUUUGAGCGUGUUCAGAAGUCUGCCUUUGAAGACAGCUCUUGUUUUUAUGUUGUAUUCUACAACUACACUUCCAUAUAGUGGAAGGUAAGAACAAUUUUGAAUUUAUAUCUCAUUUAUAUUGAUUCAUUGCUAUAAGGUAUAGGAAUUAUAUUUUAGCUUUGGAGAGUGAUAUAUUGUAUGUUUUAGGAUUUAGCGGUGGGCGUUUUAGCUUUUUGCAUGACUAGCCUAAGGGCUAAGCAUAUGAUAACCAUACCUGUAUUACUGUAUUGAAGUAUUAAUGCUGUUAAACCUGUAAAGGCACUGGAAACACUCAGACUGCCAAUUACUUGGGAUUUGUUGUGGCCUGCAAUCACCCAAUCCACUUUUAAGCAUUUAAUAAACUGAAGGAGCACUAUUACUGCUCUGAUUCAUUAAAACUUAAAAUUAAAUGAGUCUGUGUGAUUUUCUUGAUUAUUAAAAAGUUGUUUGGACAUAUUGUAAGCCUAGUGCACGAACAAUCCACUUACAGGAGUUUAAAACAUCUCUGUCCUCCUUAAACAGCUCCCCUGAGUUUAAGAGUGUGCUUAGAAAAAUAAAAGAAGUACGUGCAAAUCUGACAUUGUUAAUUAAACGUUCCAUUCUUUAUCUUGGCUAGCAGCCUGCACCAGCUUCAGCAUCUUUGCCAUCCGGAGAACAGCUCCUCCCUCCAGCAGACCCAAGACCACGGGCCCAAGGACAGGGCCCCCUCAGCACUACACCCCUCCUCACGGAUCAGCGCCCCCUCCCAAUGGGCGGCCUCCCACCUCAACCAUGGAGACCGAGGUCCAACCCCAACUGAGUGAGAUCAGGGGCCCCCUCCCUGCCGCCUAACCGGCAGUGGGACAUACAGGCUCCAUGGGCGCCCUUUUCCCCGACAUGCUUCCGGUGCCAUGAGGUCGGCCACCUCGCUAGAAAUUGUCCUGCAGCAAUGGAGUGUGGCGCGGCCUCACACUUCCUGUCAUCGUCACCAGAAAGGACCACUGGGGUGUGCUUCUCAAAUCCUGCCCAAACAAAAUCAGUUUCAUCUGCUCACCUCACUUCAGAAACUAUGCUUCUAGAAGCAGCAAUAGAAAAUUAUAGAUAUCACAAAUAAAAGGAUUUUAAACAGGCGAGAACUGGGAGCUGAAGCCACGGAACCAACAAACACAUCCCGGAGCACCACUACCUCUGCACAUCAUCACACCCCGUCCCUGCAGUGGAGCACCUAAACUGCGUCACCACUUUGAACCGUGCCUGUGCUGUUGGGACUGUGGAUUAUUGUUUAGUAGUUAUUGUUUUGUUUACCCUUUUUAUUUUGGUACUGUAAUUCCAGUGUCCCCAAUACCAUUGCUGGUAGCGGGGACAAACCUUAAUGUUUUAUUAAUAAUUAAUAAUAAACAGGACCCAUUGUAAAUAACCCACUGUUUGGACAAUAUAUCAUUCCUGCACCACUUGCAUCCUGACAAUCAUAUUUUAUCAGAAAUUGUUACUAUGUUUCACAGAGGUG